CCCCUUCCAGAGUCGCACCUGGAGAGUUUCCAGUACUCUACCAGUCUCGGCUAUGGGAGGGAGAGUCAAGGAGAGGGAAACCCAUUCCAUUCCUAGCUUGGGCAGUGGAGAGUGGAUGGAAGGCAAUCUGCUACAAGU
Small nucleolar RNA from Ornithorhynchus anatinus (platypus), 138 nucleotides. The record is from RefSeq and is a predicted model, not a curated record. NCBI's taxonomy places the organism in Eukaryota, Metazoa, Chordata, Mammalia, Monotremata, Ornithorhynchidae.